CUGACUGCCCAGGGGAGGCACCAAAGAGCUUUGGGGACUGUGCACCCUAGGGACAGGGACACCGCCCUUGUCUCCCAGAGCUGGCCUGCUGUUUGCCCCACCCUGGAAGCAGGCGGAGGAACUGGCUCCCUGAACAGUGAGAACUUGAGGAGAGAGGGAAGGAGCCCCACGCUGGUCACCGCUGAGCGGCCACAGGGCUCUGGGCGCGCUGCAGUCCACAGGCCCCCAUGGGGCUGGGCUGGCCUUCCGGGCAGGGGCUGGCCUGGCUCCUCCUGGACGGGCCUGGGUGUCUUGGCAGGAAUGGUGGUGUCGACAGGCCCCUGACAAGGGGCUUCCUCUGUGUUCCCGGGAGCCGGCCCUGUGUGUGGCAGUGGCUGUAGACAGACGUGAGGACCCGCGUGUCCUGGUAGGUGUGGGUGUGGGGGUGGUGCCCGCGGGUCUGUGAGCAGCAGGACGUGUGUGUGACCGUGUGUGUGACUGUGUGUCUGUGCAUGCGUGGGCGGGAGUGUGAGCAUCGCGGGCACAGCGGGCCCUCUCUGCCGCGGAGGGCCUGCCGUCCAGCACCUCCAUCCUUCCCUGGGCUCGCACCUGCUGGGGGACUGGGGCAGAGUCCUCUGAUGCCCUGAGCUUUGUGGGAGGGUCAGUUGGGAGCAUUCCCACAGCACUAGGGGAGGGCGGUGGCUGCUGGCUCCCUGCUGUUUCUGACCACAAGAGCUGGUGCUCCUCUCUGUGCCCUGGCACCUGCCCAGGGCCUGGCCUGUGCGGGGCUGGUGGGGUAUGCAGAGCUGAACUGCCCUUGAGAGCCUUGUGGGUGCUGGGGACACAGGGGAAUGGGCAACCCAGGGAUGAAUUGGGCUGAAGGGUGGGUCUACCAGGGACCAGAUGGGGACGUGGGUGCCCCUCUCAGGGGACAGCCAUGCCAACCCCAAGGUCGAGGCAACACCUGUGCUAAGCCCAGACUGAACAGGACUCCUGCCAUCCCUCACAUCUACCCCACUCCUGCUUCCUCUGGAUGGGGCAGAGGCCUGUGAGGGGCUGGUGCCCUGCGUCCCUGCAUGAUGAGCAGGUGAAUGGCAGGCAGGCGAGUGGGUCACUGUCAAGGCUUCUGGGUGUCUCCAGCAGCCAGCCAGACUUCCCUGACCCAAGCAGCAGAGCUUCUCUGACACCUGCAGACCAGCCCAGGGAGCAUGCGGGGGGAUUCAGGCCUUCACAGUCCUGCGGGGAAGCUCAGGGAUGGGCUGGCUGGGCUCUGCCCAGGCUCCCAGAUCUAGAAGAGCUUCCAAGAGGCCUAGCCUGGGCCACCCGGCCAGGGGCCACCCUUAACAACAAUCCCACCAAGGCAAGGUCUAAUGUGGAGGCCAAGUUCCCCAAGUCAGUCUGUAGGAAAAAGGGGGGUGGCUGCUGGUCAGGCAAGUCAUAGCCCUCCAGGACCCUCACCUUCCGGGAACACAAGGCCGGAGGUGGCCUUCUUGUGGCAUCUGGUGUCCUCAGGUUGAGGCCAACUAGCAGGUGGAAGGUAGGUUCCAACCUGCUCCACUAAGACGGCUGCCACUGCACGUGUCCCCGGGCUGCUGACCUGAGGUGGAGGCCCCUCAGGCGACAGGGCGAGGUGGCAGCUCUGCAGGGCUGGUUUCCUGAGAGGCUCUUCCCAGCUCUGAGGCCCCCAAGACUCUACAGGGCAGGAGGGGGAAUCUCACCCCCGCCCCCCGCCCAACCUCGUCCUGCUGGGAGGAGGUCCCUGUGGUAUCCUCUUGUACAGACGACACGCAGGGCUUGUUCCUGGUGCCUGCAUUUCUCUGUCUGGCCAGUAAGCCCGGCCUGCCUCAGCCCAAUUAUCCAGUCAGCCUCCUGCUGCCAAUGGCCUCCCGUGGGUGGGAGGUCGGCCUCCUCUGGCACCAGCUGGUGUGGCAGCCGUUUUCCAACCUGAGCCUGUCCCAGCUGUGAGGUUGGAUGACCCUUAUUUUACGGACUUACCGUGAGGACUGCCCCUGUAACUCCCCCGGCUGAGCCCCACGUCUGCACACUGGCCGCGGGAAACAGGACACCAGCUGGACCGGGAGGAGCCGAGGGUGUGCGUGCUGGGGUCCUUGGAAGCCCAAGAGAAAGCUCAUCCAGGGACACAGCCCCCCAGUUCCCUUCUGUCCAGGAGAAAGCCCCUCGCUCGGGCCUGGCCUCGCUCUCUGCUGGUCCCUGCUGGGGCUGCCUCCUCUCUCCUAGCUUCCCAGCCCCGCUACCUGCCCAGUGAGCUCCGGGCCUCCGCAUUUCCUCAGAUUUCUGAGCCACGGAGAUCCCUUUUCCUCGCUGGGGGGGGAAGGGGCGCCUGGAGGCAGGCAUGGUUUUCUUUCUUUGCUGUCACACAGAUGGCGUCCCUACCUGGUGGGGGCCCCUGGAGACUGUCGGGUCGAGAGUGGUUUGUAUUGUCACCAUCAUCGUCAUAGAAAACAUGGGCUUUCAGGUCCCAGUUGCCCUUGGCUGAUGAAGAUUCCCGGGUUCUACAGUUUGUUUGUGCACCUGACCCACAGAUUCAUUCCAGGACAGGGUUUUCCUUGUGCUCAAAUAGCCCAGCACGAAGUCGGGGCUCAUUAUACGUCGUUACAGGUCUCUAUUCAAGGUCUUUAAAGAGGACAUGUUGAUGUCAAGUGAGGACACAGCUAGUGAUGCUUCUGCCUAGAACCUUCACUGGCUCCCCAGCACUGCUCUAUAGGACAGCAUUCAGCACCUUGGUGUUCUGGGCUCUUCUGGCUUCUUAGCUGUCCCUGAAUGGUCACAUUUGGGUAUGCUGUUUUUGCCGUCUUCAGUACUCUUACCAUGUCUCCCUGGGAUGGCCCCAAUUCACCUCUCACUGUAGGUUUGGUCACCCCCAGCCUCCUCCAGCUCUACUCUAGAGCAGGAGGCUACUGCUGGUCUCAUGGAACCCCUCCCUCCCGCCAGCACCCUGCUGGCCUGGCUCAGGAUCACCAUGUCCUCUUAGGAGUACCCUCCCAUCUCUGAGCUCUAGGAGGGCAGGACUGUGCCUGUCCCAGUACCGGCAGCAUGCGGGACCCACAAAGGGCUCAAGCAAACGAGGAAGUGGGUGUUCUUGUUUUGUUCCGUGUUUUAGCAAAGAAGUUUCAGUUCUGGUUCAAGAGGAUGCAUUACGUAUUCCUCUUCUCAAUGAUGUCACCUCUGGCUUUGAAGAAAAUUUUGAAAAUGAUAAGCACCUUGCUUACUGGGUUCUUUCUUCAACAUAGCAUAUGGUGUGUUGAGUUUUUCAGUCAGAUCAAUUAUUUGUUCACACACACACACACACACACACACAUCGACAUCCAGCAGUUUGGCAAAAUUAAGUCCCUGCUUUCCUCUGCCUGGACUCUGGAUCUGGGAUCUACAGCCCAGGUUCCCAUGGGGCCUGCAGGAGCCCAGCCCAGGAGCAGGCGGGGGAGAGACCCGGACAGGCACAUUUUCUGUUUCCAUUUUCAGACAAUUUCAUGCUCUGGGGAAAAUGCUUUGAGAAGAGGCCCCCCUCCGCCAGCCUUCAGCAGGUUAGUUUAGCUUAGUAAUUAGCAAUCACAAUAUGAGCUGGGAUAAUUAUCCCCAAAAGUCAAAAGAAAAACACAGAUGUUUUUAAAGCUGCGCAGUAGAGACUUUGCCUUUCGAUUGUAAUAAUUUAGCAUGCAAAAUGAAUUAGACGCUGGCUUUUCCUGGGACUUAAUUUCCAAGGUAGGUUGAGGAAAAUCCGACUGUUUUUGAAACGAGCAGUCUUGGACGAGGAGGUGGGAAAACACAGGACAAUUUUCAGAAUCCAGCAAGAGGUGAGGGAGGCCGGAUUGAAUAAACUAAGGAGUUCUCUGCCCCUGGGACUGGAGUUCAAGCUUCCUCAUCUUUGAAAACCCGUGGGAGGCUUCUCUCUGCUGAAACACAGAUUGACAGGUGUGUGCUUGAGGCUUGGUGUGGCUGCCACGGCCCCCGAAGGUCAAGAGCAGGAUGGAUCAAGACAGAGGACACUCCAUCCCCCUGGUCAGCUCCAAGGAGGCUCAGGGCGGCUCCGAGGCUGCAGCUCAGUCCUGCGGGUGCCUCUCCCGUUUCCUCACUGUGCCCCCACCACUGUGGGAAGCUGUUUAGCAGGGAGGUCUCGAGGGGUGAAGGUAAUUUCCGUUCUGCCCUCUGAAGGUUUGCUGGGAUACACUGACAGACACCGGAAACCGGGGAGACCGUUUGCAAACUUAUCACGUGCGCAGGGGAAAUCACUGCCCCUGACCUAACACAACUCAGAAACCUACAUGUGUCGGGGAGGGCAAGAUGGGAACACUAGAUCAUUUUUAGGGGAGCUCAAUGGGCUUGGAGAACAUACAAGGGCUUGGGACAAAGUCUGAUUCAACCCUCUGGAGACAGGUGAGGCUGAGAGCAGCCACCAGCCAAGCCUCGCAGCAUCUGGAGUGGGCUACGCCUGCAGAGAGAGGGGAGCUGGCCGAGACAGCAAUGUCCCCCACUACCACACGGAUGCUGCGCAGGAGCUGCAGACCCCCUCAGGGCAGGACCCUGCAGCCUGGGGGAAGAGCAGCCUGGCUUUAGCAACCUGCCUGGUUGGCAGGGCUUUUCCCCCUGGUUGGAGGUGGGCAGUGAAGUGGCAGGUCAACUUGGCCACCAUGUCCCUGAGUCUGUUUCAUUCAGAGCUUGCUAAGAAUGGUUGAGAGGUACGUGUAACAGGCAAGGGUUCUUUCCCCUUCUCUUAAGCAUGAUUUGGGCUUUUGAACUUUCUCUCCUUCUGUUUCCUGGUAUGCUGUUGCUGCUGAGAAUCAUGGGAGUCCCCAGGAGUCCUGUGGCUGCAGGGGAAGAUCACACCAGCAAUGUCAGUCAAGGGUUGAGCAUCUGAGUAGGCCAAGGCCCAAGCCAGGGGCUCUCAGAGGAGUAGCCUGAUGUUCCGAGAGGUCCAAGGCCACACAGUUGAUGGGUGUCAGAAGAUCAGCACUCCUGGCCUUCUCUCUGUAUCAUUCCCCAUAUGGGCCCCAAGCGCUCCUCAAAGUGGCAGGGUGCAGUUGAUGGUGGAAUAAAUGAGGUUGAAAUAUGCAAGGACUUGGUGGAAUUAUUUAAUCAGCCCCAUAUUAGAAAACACGUGGCUUCAAAUUGGAUGCCAGGGCCCGUGUGUCCUGCUCUUCUUCCCAGUCCUGGACCCCGCACUGCCCUGAGUGGGUGCCCUGGGUGUCAGCAGCAGCUAUAUCCCCAGUUCUUCAUAGCCAGGGGGGUGCCUCCCGGGCAGACUGGAGAGGCAUCCUGAGCCCCUGGGAGGACCCUGGGUUGGAGACGGACACUGUGCUGCUGUGGAAUGUCCAGUGGACCAUACGUCUUCCCUAUCUGGAGUCACUCUCAUUUUCAGGAUCAGCAACUUCCUGUUUGUCUUUUAGGCUAUUUAUUCCACAUUUUCCAAUAAUACAAAUAACAAGGGCAAUGAUUAUCUUCAGUUCUGCCUACAUCUUGACUAAUUCCUUUGAGAUAAAGCCUUAAAAUAAUUACUGAGCCAAGUUCACCCAUCUCUUAAAGGCUUUCUCCAUGGCUGCCAGAUUGCUUAUCGUGAAGAUUUAAACCCCAGGCUUGUGGGGGGCGGGGUCUGCCCCUUUGCUUUCUGGAUAGGGCAUCAUCUUUGCUAAUCUACUUGGAGAAAAGUAACAUCCCAGUAUUCUAAUUUUCCUUUAUUUGUUUAAUGGUAUUAAAAGUCUCAACAAAUUCAGUCUAAAGAUCUAUUGGCCUUCGUUAGUGAUCCACGAAGGGAAAUCAUCUCACCUAAAAAUUUAGAAAAGGUGUCCAAGGACCCGAGCAGAGAAGGUGUGCUUACUAGGCAGACAAAGGACCAAAUAAGCAGAAUCAGGGAACAACAAGUGGGUUGGUCAUUUCAAAGUUACUUUAGAAGGUUAGCAGAGGGGACUUGCUCAUCAUGCCGGCUGGGAUGGCCUCUUCAGGAUCUGGCCAUCAUCUCUCUCCUGGUUUCUCAGAAGGUUGGAGACUUCACUUAGUUUCCGUUUGGUGACGUGGGGCUGCAUCAGGAGCGACUCCAUUCUGGCCUGGUCCUGGGGGCUCAGUGCGGGAGCUCAGCCUCUAACAAUGGCAGCUCUUAGAUCCCACUUGACAAGGGUGAGGCUGAGCGGGUUUCCUGGGAUUGAGGAUCAUUCGUCUUCCUGGGUGGUUCGCCCGCAUAUGAUCUUUGCCCACAUGUCCCUGGUUGUCCCACUCAAAGCUGCUUCUCCUGUGCCAAGCUAUCAGCUGUUUGCGCUCACACUCAGCCGGCUUCUGUGGUUCUGCGUUUACACUAGUGGCAUCUAGCACGAUGCUCCCAGGAAGCCACACGUGGCUGAAACUUUGGUCUAAGGCACUGUCUCCCCCCCACUCCCACUUUUUAAAAUUGAAGCUUGGCUGAAACUGGAGAGUUCAGUGGGGAGGAAGUUCAAGGGGUCAGAGCAUAUCCUGUUCCUCAUUUCGCAAACCACGCUGCUAAUUGCCCAAUUUAGAGUGAUUUGGUGGCAACGCUUGGCAGCAGAAUGAGAACUGCCUCACGCGUGAGGACAGCUGGGAUAUUUUCAUUCUGCAGGGUGGCGAGUACAGGAAGUCCCGCUCCGAGGCCUCUGGGGCCCAGAAUGCUGGUUUUGGAGUGGCACAGACCUGGGUGUGAGUCUGGGAUCCGCAUUGACUGAGUCCGUGUGACCCUGAGUUGUCGUUCGGCCCUCCGGAGCUUCCUGUGCCUGAAAAAUGGGCUUUCCAGCUUGCCCUCCAAGAAGACGCCACCUUGGCAGGCGAGAGGGUGCCACCCAGGGCCAGGACCCCCCUCGGACCCCCGAGGUAUGAACUGUGUGCACAGCAAAUCUCCGUUUCUCCCUCCCUCCGUGCAGGGCUCCAUUUCCUCUCCCGAUCUGUAACCCAGCCUUGUUUUCCCACAGCGCUGAAUGGAAUGUGGCCACCGCGUCCGGGGCUUGUGGGUUCUCCGCACAGAACUCUGGGUCAUGCCCUUGGCAGGAAUCCCCGCUGGCUGCAGAGCGCAGGAAGGGACCUUCCAGGCCCCCUUUGCCCUUGCCCUUCUUACAGGAAAUGGAAAUGCGACAGGGAAUUUGUGACUAAAUAAGCCCAAAUCGGAAACUGGCCUGGUGAUGGCGAGGCCAUGGCCGCGGAGCUUUCCCUCCCGGGUGCCAAGCCCCGCGCUCAGCGCCGCAGUGCACAAGCGCCACACCACCCGGCUGUUCUGCAGCUGCCACACCACUCUCCCCUGGGGGCUCCCUGAGGGGACUCAGGUCCACACAGCCAUGUGCACACUCAACACACUCACACAAACACACACACCACACACACUCACAUGGACACACAACCACACUCACACUCAGAAAACACAGAGACACAGAGACACGCACACACACAGAUACACACACACACGCCACUAACAGUCAUGUGAGUUCAUUCUCACACAUUCACACGGACACACGUGUGCAGGCUCACACACUAACUCACAUGCACACUCUACAUACAGCGACACCGAGACACGAUACACACCCACACGUAUACACGAUUUAAAAACUCACGCGGGCUCACUCUCCCCUUCACACUCACACACACAAGCACGCAGACACACACUCACACAGACACACACAGCAUUGGAGCCCACUGUUGUGAGCCCGUGCUUGAGCUGCAGUGCUGGGCUGGCUCCGGGCCUUGCCACAGGGAGGACAAGUCCAGACGGAGAACCGCCCAGAAGACUGGGGGCCCGAGUGUCCUGGAAAACCACAGGAUGAGGGUGACCCUCAGGAGAAGAGACCACUCAGGGCCUCCGUGAGCUUUCUGUGGGGCCCAGAGCAACUGCAAGGAGGCCUGGACACGGGGCCAUCUUAGAGGGGCAGAUUUGGGCUCAUAAAGGACUAUUAGUCAAGUUCAUAUGGAGCUGGGCCAGGGUGAGGCGUGAGGAGGACGGAGCCGAGGCCUGGUCUUCAGGGGAGGCCAGACCAGUGAAUCAGGGGCUCAGAGAGAUGGCAGGCUGUGGGGCAGAGUCCAGGUGGCCAUCUGAGCCCACAUGGGAAUGAGCUGCUGGUCACCAGUGUGCCAGGUGGGGUCGAGCAGCCAGGGCACGGGCACAUGGGCAAGGGGCUCCAAGACCCAGGAGGAGGCUGGGAGGAGUUGCCAAGCAAGACCCAGCAGCAUGACUCAGGCCACUGUGCUGCACUGGACCGUCUCUUUGUCUCCCACCCCUCCUCCCCCUUUCUCAGGUGGUCUCCUCGGAGCACACCUCUAGUACCAGUGACCGGGAAUAAAGAGUGAGUGGCCCAGCAGCCCAGGGAACCCUUUCCUUGACCAAAAUCACCUGUUUCAGCAGGUGAUGGCUGCAGGUGGGGGGCCAAGGGCUAGAGGGGUCAGGAGAGACGGAGGACAGCAGGCCCUGGCUCUGCUGCUAGUUUGCUCCGGGUGCCGAGUCCAGCACUCCGAGGCAGGUCACUUUGCCUCUCUGGGCCUCUGCUGGAGUUGUGCUUUCUGAUUUCAUGGCCAUCCCAGCCCUGAGGGCUACAAGUGACCCUGGACUCACUGUGCCCACCGAGGGUGGGUGGGCGGACACGCCCUGCCGUAGGUGCCAGCCCAAGAUCAAAUGGUCAGGCAGGAAUGUUUUUUCAGUGAGGCUAUUUAUUCCUUUGGGGUUUCAGAACAAAACCCCAGAGGCAAAAACCACUUACUUCACAGUCCCCAGCGGUUUCUUUCCAAGGAUGGUACGAGCUGAGCAAGGACGGCUGCACCAGAACUGGGAUCUUUCUCUCCACCCUCCUGGGUAAACCUCCAUGCUGGCCACCCCACUGUCUGCUGCAAACGUGGACUGGCGUCUAAACAGAUAUCCCUGGAGCCUGCUGUUCCAAGGGAGGGGGGAUCUACCAACGGCCCAAAGUAAAUGGAAACAUAAACACUUCCAGGAACGUACGUUUUAAAAUGCAAAGAGCAUGCCUGGAGAUUUAUAAUGUGUUACUGUGAUGGGCUCCCACCUCCCAACCCUUGACUGAUCUGAUGCUGGUUAGACACCUGCCAAUCAGACGUGAACUUGGAACGUUUCUCCAAGGGUCACAAAGUAGGUGGAGGUCCUUUCCAUCAGCCACACCGACCCGAGUGGCCCAAGCAGGGCCAGCUUCUUGGGUGGACAGAGGACCCAAGAGCCUCUGGUUUGAUUUAAUGUUCAGUUGUCUUGAAGGUCUUCAUAAUCAUUAAACAAGGGGCUUUGUACAAUAUGCGUCUUGAACUGUAGAGCCAAUUUAAAACGAUCUCAAAACAUCUAAGACAAACCCAGAAAUAUAAGCAGAACUUGAGAAAUCCAAGUUGAACACAUCUCUAUUAAUCAGGCAGCAAGCAAAACAGCACAGGUAUUGAGUAAGUUUGAUUUAUACAGGAAUAUGCAAACUGUAGCCAAGAUGUAUUUACAAAAGUUUAAGGGCGUAUGGAUGUUCAUAAAAAUCUACAGUGUAAAUAAUUUAUUAAGGGAACAAAUUCAUUUUAUUCAAGUAAAUCUCAACAAAUACCAGAGCAUUAAGGUCAUACUAACUGUCUCUGAGCACAAGCAAUUACAUUAAAAAUCAACAGUAAACUCUUCAGCCUUCCACAUCUCAUGAGAAUGUCUCUUAUUGGUGGACUCCAAACAGAAUUCUGAAAGGGGAAUCUGAAAAAUACAAUCUUUUAUUUAUUUCUGGCUCCUGGUCAGACCUUAGAAGGACUGGGAGAGUUCUGGGAGCUAACAGAUAGUGUCUACCACAAAAUGCAUUCGGAAAUUAAAAAAACAAAAGAAAGAAAGAAAAAGAAAAGGAGCCAAAACAAUAACCAGAAAAAGUAAAACAAAAUGAAACAAAACUAAAAAUCCCUGUGAAGUUUUAGUCACGUACAUUUGUGAAUUUUCUUUGAAAAGUAAGAUGUACCAUGCAAAUCUAAGAUAUUUUAUACCUGUAGGGGGUUCAUUAUCAUAGGUAGGACAUUUCACUGAAAUAAUUUUUUUUCCUGAAAAAAUCCAGAUAAUUGUCACU
Molecule: long non-coding RNA, 9998 nt
Filed under: Marmota monax (woodchuck)
Lineage: Eukaryota; Metazoa; Chordata; Mammalia; Rodentia; Sciuridae
Source: RNAcentral